GAUGAACGCUGGCGGCGUGCCUAAUACAUGCAAGUCGAGCGAACGGACGAGAAGCUUGCUUCUCUGAUGUUAGCGGCGGACGGGUGAGUAACACGUGGAUAACCUACCUAUAAGACUGGGAUAACUUCGGGAAACCGGAGCUAAUACCGGAUAAUAUUUUGAACCGCAUGGUUCAAAAGUGAAAGACGGUCUUGCUGUCACUUAUAGAUGGAUCCGCGCUGCAUUAGCUAGUUGGUAAGGUAACGGCUUACCAAGGCAACGAUGCAUAGCCGACCUGAGAGGGUGAUCGGCCACACUGGAACUGAGACACGGUCCAGACUCCUACGGGAGGCAGCAGUAGGGAAUCUUCCGCAAUGGGCGAAAGCCUGACGGAGCAACGCCGCGUGAGUGAUGAAGGUCUUCGGAUCGUAAAACUCUGUUAUUAGGGAAGAACAUAUGUGUAAGUAACUGUGCACAUCUUGACGGUACCUAAUCAGAAAGCCACGGCUAACUACGUGCCAACAGCCGCGGUAAUACGUAGGUGGCAAGCGUUAUCCGGAAUAUUGGGCGUAAGCGCGCGUAGGCGGUUUUUUUAAGUCUGAUGUGAAAGCCCACGGCUCAUUCGUGGAGGGUCAUUGGAAACUGGAAAACUUGAGUGCAGAAGAGGAAAGUGGAAUUCCAUGUGUAGCGGUGAAAUGCGCAGAGAUAUGGAGGAACACCAGUGGCGAAGGCGACUUUCUGGUCUGUAACUGACGCUGAUGUGCGAAAGCGUGGGGAUCAAACAGGAUUAGAUACCCUGGUAGUCCACGCCGUAAACGAUGAGUGCUAAGUGUUAGGGGGUUUCCGCCCCUUAGUGCUGCAGCUAACGCAUUAAGCACUCCGCCUGGGGAGUACGACCGCAAGGUUGAAACUCAAAGGAAUUGACGGGGACCCGCACAAGCGGUGGAGCAUGUGGUUUAAUUCGAAGCAACGCGAAGAACCUUACCAAAUCUUGACAUCCUUUGACAACUCUAGAGAUAGAGCCUUCCCCUUCGGGGGACAAAGUGACAGGUGGUGCAUGGUUGUCGUCAGCUCGUGUCGUGAGAUGUUGGGUUAAGUCCCGCAACGAGCGCAACCCUUAAGCUUAGUUGCCAUCAUUAAGUUGGGCACUCUAAGUUGACUGCCGGUGACAAACCGGAGGAAGGUGGGGAUGACGUCAAAUCAUCAUGCCCCUUAUGAUUUGGGCUACACACGUGCUACAAUGGACAAUACAAAGGGCAGCGAAACCGCGAGGUCAAGCAAAUCCCAUAAAGUUGUUCUCAGUUCGGAUUGUAGUCUGCAACUCGACUACAUGAAGCUGGAAUCGCUAGUAAUCGUAGAUCAGCAUGCUACGGUGAAUACGUUCCCGGGUCU
RNAcentral lists this ribosomal RNA (1371 nucleotides) under uncultured bacterium. RNAcentral describes it as "bacterial SSU rRNA". It matches the Rfam family "Bacterial small subunit ribosomal RNA", at positions 28 to 1381 of the family's 1533-position model. The record is from RNAcentral.